ACAGGAGAACAGGCGGCCGCUGACGGGCUUUUCGCCCGUUGGAGGAAAGUCCGAACACCACAGGGCAGGGUGCUCCGUAACGCGGAGUCGCGGCGACGCGAAGGAAAGUGCAACAGAGAGCAGACCGCCUUGCGGCUUUAAGCCGCAGGGUAAGGGUGAAACGGUGCGGUAAGAGCGCACCAGUUCUCCGGGCGACCGGGGAAGCUAGGUAAACCCCACCCGGUGCAAGACCAAAUAGGAGGGCGUCACGAGGCCGGCCCGGCCCAUGCCCUCGGGUAGGUCGCAAGAGGCUCGCGGGCAACCGCAGUCCAAGAUGAAUGGCCGCCGCCCGCUUCACGCGGGAACAGAAUUCGGCUUACGUUCCCCUGUCCCC
RNAcentral lists this RNase P RNA (373 nucleotides) under Deltaproteobacteria bacterium. RNAcentral describes it as "RNase P RNA component class A". It matches the Rfam family "Bacterial RNase P class A". Rfam says of the family: Ribonuclease P (RNase P) is a ubiquitous endoribonuclease, found in archaea, bacteria and eukarya as well as chloroplasts and mitochondria. Its best characterised activity is the generation of mature 5'-ends of tRNAs by cleaving the 5'-leader elements of precursor-tRNAs. Cellular RNase Ps are ribonucleoproteins. Lineage: Bacteria; Pseudomonadati; Myxococcota; Myxococcia. The record is from RNAcentral.